GCAUCGAUGAAGAACGCAGCGAAUUGCGAUAAGUAAUGUGAAUUGCAGAUACUCGUGAAUCAUUGAAUUUUUGAACGCACAUUGCGCCCUUGAGCAUUCUCAGGGGCAUGCCUGUUUGAGCGUCAUUUCCUUCUCAAAAGAUAAUUUAUUAUUUUUUGGUUGUGGGCGAUACUCAGGGUUAGCUUGAAGUUGGAGACUGUUUCAGUCUUUUUUAACUCAACACUUAGCUUCUUUGGAGACGCUGUUCUCGCUGUGAUGUAUUUAUGGAUUUAUUCGUUUUACUUUACAAGGGAAAUGGUAACGUACCUUAGGCAAAGGGUUGCUUUUAAUAUUCAUCAAGUUUGACCUCAAAUCAGGUAGGAUUACCCGCUGAACUUAAGCAUAUCAAUAAGCGGAGGA
This 399-nucleotide ribosomal RNA is filed under the name uncultured fungus. RNAcentral's name for it is "eukaryotic LSU rRNA". The stretch from base 1 to 125 matches the Rfam family "5.8S ribosomal RNA", at positions 30 to 154 of the family's 154-position model. Lineage: Eukaryota; Fungi. The record is from RNAcentral.